Anguilla rostrata (American eel) is the source of this 509-nucleotide long non-coding RNA. RefSeq lists it as uncharacterized. NCBI's taxonomy places the organism in Eukaryota, Metazoa, Chordata, Actinopteri, Anguilliformes, Anguillidae. The record is from RefSeq and is a predicted model, not a curated record. The transcript has 2 exons.
GAGGCCAUCCUCCUCUGUCUUGCCCGAUGUAAAGUAAGAGUAGAAUGGAUGGCAACAGAAAUGUAAUGAGGCAUCUACCACAGCAAAUAAUCAAAUGGGCUGAGCAGGUUAUGAUCUGAGGCAGUAAACAAGCUGGUAAUUAGGUCCUAAUAAAAAUAUGUAUAAAAGAUGUAUAAACAGCACAGCAUGACAAAAUUCCCAACCUUUUUGUCACUCUGCAAUCAAAAGUAGUCAACAUGUUUACAUUUGAAGGUUGAAGUGGAUGAGUGAAAAAUGCAAAGUUUAUUUUACCCUUUGUACUUCAAUUUGAUCCUGUGUUUACUGUAAUAGUGAUACAUACCUCAUUUUAAUAUUAUAUGGGUAAAAUUGAUUUGUUUUACGGGUGGGUCACGAGAAACUCUCAAACGCUGCAGGUGGGUCACAAAAAACUUUGCGACCCUCUGCUAUAUAGCACAGUAUAAAACACCAUAAACUACACUUUUAGCCUGUGUUAACCUACAGAUGAAACA